GUCGCCGUGGCGGGGCCGGCCCCGGCGGCCUGCGGCGCCGCCUCGGGCUGGGACAGCACGGCGGUCGGGCGGUCCGGCGCGGUCAGGGCGACG
Molecule: transfer RNA, 93 nt
Filed under: Methylobacterium symbioticum
Lineage: Bacteria; Pseudomonadati; Pseudomonadota; Alphaproteobacteria; Hyphomicrobiales; Methylobacteriaceae
Description: Methylobacterium sp. SB0023/3 tRNA-Arg
Source: RNAcentral